RNAcentral lists this transfer RNA (67 nucleotides) under Hydropsyche orris. RNAcentral's name for it is "tRNA-His". Lineage: Eukaryota; Metazoa; Arthropoda; Insecta; Trichoptera; Hydropsychidae. The record is from RNAcentral.
AUUUAUUAAAGUUUAUUUAAAUUAAACAUUUUUGACUCCACAAAUCAAUAUUUUUUAUUAAAUUAUU